RNAcentral lists this ribosomal RNA (497 nucleotides) under uncultured bacterium. RNAcentral's name for it is "partial 16S ribosomal RNA". It matches the Rfam family "Bacterial small subunit ribosomal RNA", at positions 28 to 507 of the family's 1533-position model. The record is from RNAcentral.
GAUGAACGCUGGCGGCGUGCCUAAUACAUGCAAGUCGAGCGGACGGACGAUAAGCUUGCGUCUCUGAUGUUAGCGGCGGACGUGUGAGUAACGCGUGGAUAACCUACCUAUAAUACUGGGAUCACUUCGGGAAACCGGAUCUAAUACCGGAGAAUAUUUUGAACCACAUGGGUCAAAAGUGAAAGACGGUCUUGCUGUCACGUAUAGAGGGAUCCGCGCUGGAUUAGCUAGUUGGUAAGGUAACAGCCUACCAAGGCAACGAUGCAUAGCCGACCUGAGAGGGUGAUCGGCCACACUGGAACUGAGACACGGUCCAGACUCCUACGGGAGGCAGCAGUCGGGAAUCUUCCGCAAUGGGCGAAAGCCUGACGGAGCAACGCCGCGUGAGUGAUGAAGGUCUUCGGAUCGUAAAGCUCUGUUAUUAGGGAAGAACAUCUGUGUAAUUAACCGUGCCCAGCUUGACGGUACCUAAUCAGAAAGCCACGGCUAACUACGUG